Molecule: ribosomal RNA, 558 nt
Filed under: Salmonella enterica subsp. enterica
Lineage: Bacteria; Pseudomonadati; Pseudomonadota; Gammaproteobacteria; Enterobacterales; Enterobacteriaceae
Description: partial 23S ribosomal RNA
Rfam family: Bacterial large subunit ribosomal RNA
Source: RNAcentral
CUCGCCGGAAGACCAAGGGUUCCUGUCCAACGUUAAUCGGGGCAGGGUGAGUCGACCCCUAAGGCGAGGCCGAAAGGCGUAGUCGAUGGGAAACGGGUUAAUAUUCCCGUACUUGGUGUUACUGCGAAGGGGGGACGGAGAAGGCUAUGUUGGCCGGGCGACGGUUGUCCCGGUUUAAGCGUGUAGGUGUGUGUUCCAGGUAAAUCCGGUUCACUUUAACACUGAGGCGUGACGACGAGGCACUACGGUGCUGAAGCAACAAAUGCCCUGCUUCCAGGAAAAGCCUCUAAGCAUCAGGUAACAUCAAAUCGUACCCCAAACCGACACAGGUGGUCAGGUAGAGAAUACCAAGGCGCUUGAGAGAACUCGGGUGAAGGAACUAGGCAAAAUGGUGCCGUAACUUCGGGAGAAGGCACGCUGACACGUAGGUGAAGUGAUUUACUCAUGGAGCUGAAGUCAGUCGAAGAUACCAGCUGGCUGCAACUGUUUAUUAAAAACACAGCACUGUGCAAACACGAAAGUGGACGUAUACGGUGUGACGCCUGCCCGGUGCCGGAA